UCCCGACGCCCCGAGUCGCAGCCACAAUUAUUGGGUCUAAAACAUUCGUAGCCUGUUCAGUAAGUUCUUUGUGAAAUUCUAAAUCUUAAGUUUAGAGCGUGCAAAGAAUACUGCUGGGCUUGGGACUGGAAGAAGUAAGAAGUAUGUUCGAGGUAGUGGUAAAAUAUGUUAAUCUCGAACAGACUAACAACAGCGAAGGCAUCUUACUAGUACAGAUCUGACGGUGAGGAAUGAAGGCUAGGGUCGCGAAACG
RNAcentral lists this ribosomal RNA (253 nucleotides) under uncultured archaeon. Its description in RNAcentral is "partial 16S ribosomal RNA". It matches the Rfam family "Archaeal small subunit ribosomal RNA", at positions 474 to 726 of the family's 1478-position model. The record is from RNAcentral.